ACCUCCCCCGCUCUACCAAAGCUAGAUAUCAAAAUGUUAUAAGUAAAUAUGUCUGGUGUGGGGCCAUCCCGUUUCAUCUUUUCAUAGAGAUCAUGAAGAUGAGGAAUCUGCUUUAGCUUCCCAAGUGCAGAGAAGACGGUAUUAUACAUGAAGCUAUCUGCUUGUACUCCCUUUUCAUUCAUCUUAUUCAGCAAAUCAAUAGCCUCAGUUACUUUCUUAGAGUUGCAUAAGCUCUCUAACAUGGACAAGUAGGCAUCACGAUCUCCUCUAUCAUGGAAGCUCCACAUAUUGCAAAACAACCUAUGAGCUUCGCUUGCAUGGCCUAUUUUACUCAACGUUCUAACAAGAUAUGCGUAUAUCGAUUUAUUCAUGUAUCUCUUAGAUAUUUCCA
Molecule: unclassified non-coding RNA, 391 nt
Filed under: Hevea brasiliensis (rubber tree)
Lineage: Eukaryota; Viridiplantae; Streptophyta; Magnoliopsida; Malpighiales; Euphorbiaceae
Source: RNAcentral